RNAcentral lists this ribosomal RNA (622 nucleotides) under uncultured bacterium. RNAcentral describes it as "bacterial SSU rRNA". The stretch from base 1 to 539 matches the Rfam family "Bacterial small subunit ribosomal RNA", at positions 338 to 873 of the family's 1533-position model. The record is from RNAcentral.
CCUACGGGAGGCAGCAGUGGGGAAUUUUGGACAAUGGGCGCAAGCCUGAUCCAGCCAUGCCGCGUGCGGGAAGAAGGCCUUCGGGUUGUAAACCGCUUUUGUCAGGGAAGAAACGGUCUGGGUUAAUACCCUGGGCUAAUGACGGUACCUGAAGAAUAAGCACCGGCUAACUACGUGCCAGCAGCCGCGGUAAUACGUAGGGUGCAAGCGUUAAUCGGAAUUACUGGGCGUAAAGCGUGCGCAGGCGGUUGUGCAAGACAGAUGUGAAAUCCCCGGGCUCAACCUGGGAACUGCAUUUGUGACUGCACAGCUAGAGUACGGUAGAGGGGGAUGGAAUUCCGCGUGUAGCAGUGAAAUGCGUAGAUAUGCGGAGGAACACCGAUGGCGAAGGCAAUCCCCUGGACCUGUACUGACGCUCAUGCACGAAAGCGUGGGGAGCAAACAGGAUUAGAUACCCUGGUAGUCCACGCCCUAAACGAUGUCACUGGUUGUAGGGAGUUCCUUCUCAGUAACGAGCUAACGCGUGAAGUUCGACCGCGUGGGGAGGUACGGCCGCGAGUAGAACGUACGAAGUAGAGUUAGACGGCGUGAGACGUGCGACGGACGACGACGAGGGAGGAGG